Panicum virgatum (switchgrass) is the source of this 1089-nucleotide long non-coding RNA. RefSeq lists it as uncharacterized. The record is from RefSeq and is a predicted model, not a curated record. The transcript has 2 exons. NCBI's taxonomy places the organism in Eukaryota, Viridiplantae, Streptophyta, Magnoliopsida, Poales, Poaceae.
GCGGCGGCGACAUAGGCGUCUCCGUCUCCUCCCAUCCUCUGUCCGAUGGAUGCACUGGAGAUCAAUCAGAUCCGUGGCGGAGGGGUGCCAUGGGAUCUUGGCGCGGUAGCAGAGUGGACGGCCAAUCUGUGCUCACCGGAUGUAGGGUGAACAUGUUUGAGCGCUCACCUGGAGGCUGGAUUGGAGCGGCAGUACAGGUUGGUGAUGUGUAUGGCUGGGAUCCAUGGAGGCGGAGGGGAUCUUGUAGUUCUCCUAGGGAGUCCCGUCGCGGCAGCGUGCGGCCAUCGCGCAGGCACCUCCUCGCCCGCUCGGCGCGGCCCCUAGGGAGUUGCUACUGCCGACGCGGCGUGCGGGCACCUCCUCGCCCGCUCGGUGUCGUAGACCAGGGAGCCUGGCAAGAAGACGCCUUCUUUGACUCGGCCUGGGCGCGGUGGUGCUGCACGUCGGCGCUACCGCUGCCGGAGCUGAGAUCCAGGCGGCGCUGAUCCCCUCCGCCAUGGUACAAGGCUCCUCCAUCCUGUCCUCUGCCAGUAGAGGAGGAAGAGGAGGACGCAGGGGCUCCUUCACGGCGCUGCUGGGCCUCCCCACCUCCCAGGCCAUGGAGCUGCUCCUCCCCCGAGCCGUGGCGCCUGCAUCAACGCCAUCUCCCUGCCCCUGCCCGCGCGCCCACCUUCCCUCCGACCCGCACCUCGUGGACCUCGCGGAGGGAAGAGGACCUGCGGUGGCUGCGGCGGCCCUGCAAUGGAAGAGGAAGCAGAGGCGACGCGGGCUAGCUGAGCGGCGCUUGACCCGGUGGAGACGCCGCCACCAGAGCUGGCAACAGCGGCGCAGGCGCAUACCCAGGGAGGCAGGGAGAGCGUGUGUGGUGGCUCAGAGUAGCCUCGCUUGCAGAUCCAACAUCAUGAACCAGUGAAGCAGCAGCAUGGAGGAGGAGGAGCAGGUAGCUCAUGACGGCGGAGAUGAGGUGCAUCAGCAGGCAGCUCAUGCGGCGGAGAUGAGGUGCACUGGCGGCUCAAGGUGACGAGAUCCUGACUGUUUGCACCGCGACAUUGCUUUGCUUGCUAGCUAAAGAUCUUUUUUUGUUCUCUA